ACUUGCCUCACAGCUAGGGACAACAUUUGGAAACGAAUGCUAAUACCUGAUAUUAUGAUUAUAUGGCAUCGUAUAAUUAUGAAAGCUAUAUGCGCUGUGAGAGAGCUUUGCGUCCCAUUAGCUAGUUGGAGAGGUAACGGCUCACCAAGGCGAUGAUGGGUAGCCGGCCUGAGAGGGUGAUCGGCCACAAGGGGACUGAGACACGGCCCUUACUCCUACGGGAGGCAGCAGUGGGGAAUAUUGGACAAUGGACCGAGAGUCUGAUCCAGCAAUUCUGUGUGCACGAUGAAGUUUUUCGGAAUGUAAAGUGCUUUCAGUUGGGAAGAAACAAAUGACGGUACCAACAGAAGAAGUGACGGCUAAAUACGUGCCAGCAGCCGCGGUAAUACGUAUGUCACGAGCGUUAUCCGGAUUUAUUGGGCGUAAAGCGCGUCUAGGUGGUUAUGUAAGUCUGAUGUGAAAAUGCAGGGCUCAACUCUGUAUUGCGUUGGGAAACUGUAUAACU
Molecule: ribosomal RNA, 505 nt
Filed under: uncultured Fusobacteriota bacterium
Lineage: Bacteria; Fusobacteriati; Fusobacteriota
Description: bacterial SSU rRNA
Rfam family: Bacterial small subunit ribosomal RNA
Source: RNAcentral